Boleophthalmus pectinirostris (great blue-spotted mudskipper) is the source of this 349-nucleotide long non-coding RNA. RefSeq lists it as uncharacterized. NCBI's taxonomy places the organism in Eukaryota, Metazoa, Chordata, Actinopteri, Gobiiformes, Gobiidae. The record is from RefSeq and is a predicted model, not a curated record. The transcript has 4 exons.
GAGCCCUUCUGAUUGCCUGGAAGAAUCCAGAUAAGGAGCUGUAUAACAAAUACAGAGAAAUAUCCUUCCGGAUUUCCAGGCAACCCUUCUGAGUGUCUCCAUCCGGAGCCCUGCACACUGAUCAAGAAUGCUAUGGAUAAUAAGAAGAUGGACAUAAGGGGACGAUAAAGACCUUCUGGAAAAUUUCCCGUGGUGGGUGAAGAUUCAAAAAUGAAGAGGCAGACCCUCUAUGCUGUGAGAAAAGAGCUGGACACUGACAGACUGGACAACAUGGAGCUGAAGAGGAGCUAGCCUCUACAGACUGAAGCUAAAGACACAGAGACUCUGAAGCUCCCACACUGCACACUCU